UGCAACAGCGCGCAAGUCGCGUGGGAAUUACAGAAUCUUCUGGGCCUUUAAAGUUGGGCCGGAUGGAUCUGAUCCUGGUGUCUACAUACGCAGCGCCCUAAAGCCCUAGCCCGUAGUUCAAGUGGAGUCAUCGUCGCCGGCGAUUUUUCAAAGAGGUAGUCCAAAAUCGUCAUUUGGUGGAAGCAAACGGGAGCUCUCUCAAAUACUCGUAGCCCUAGCCCCUAAAUCCUCUUUGGUGCAAUGAUGGCUUCGAAUAAAUUGAAGGGGUCAACAUCCAGGAUUUCUUCAAAAUCAUCAAAACCUUUCUCCUCUAACUGCAAGAAACCUUCUUUCUUCGUAAGUAAAUUUUGUGUUUUAUUUGAAAGUCUAUUUGAAAGUCACUUAACCUAUACGAUUGUCCAAGUUCUUUCUAUAGUUUGUGCUUGAGAUACAUACAUGCUUCCAAAUAUAUGUGUAAUUGACAUGAUAUUCCAUUCAUUUCUGAUGUUAGGUUCUUUAAUCAUGUUCCGAGUAUGAGUGCUAGAAAAUUAAAAAUAAUUCUUGAUCUUAAUCCAAUUUUUGUUUUCCAUCAUCUAAUUGUUGUAUCUUCCAUUAAACAUAUUCUACACAAAUGUCCAGCUAUAUUGUCAUUGACCUGUUGGAUUAGAUGGAUUUGUCGAGUACCCAGGAUUUUGAGAGUUGAGCAUCUAUACAUUACUCCUUUGUAUUUCUCAUCUUUCAGCAAAAAAAAAGUAUUAACCAUUAAUAUUGAAGCAUUAUAUGAUUCAUGCUUGAGAUGACACCACUCGACCAUGGAUGUUUAAGAAAAAGUUCAAACCUUAGAUUGCAUUCUAAUGUAUCUAAAAAAUACUAACAUCAACUCCACUUGACCUCUGCGAUAUAUGGAUUCUUUAUGUUCAUGUAUUUCUCAUCUUUGCAGGAAACAUAUUCAGUUUAUAAAACCAUUAUAAUUGGUUGGAUAUGGAAGCUACAAACAAUCUUGGAAAUCUUAUAAAAUAACCAUUUACACAUAUAUCUUGAUCAUUGCUCGGGACAUAUUUCAUCAACAACAUGUGGAUAAGAAUUUUGCAAUUCACUAGUCACCAAAUAAAAGGAAUCACACAAUAAGUAAGUUGUUUACAGUGGUUUUUUGGCAAUUUAUGACAUUUUCAAGCUCCUAGAUAUUAGUUUUUAACUUGUUUUACGGUAUUAUAAAAAAAUUCAUAGAUAUUUCUCUAUGAUUGGCUGCGUUUGUGUGAUUUUUGUCAUGUCGAAGUACUUAUUUUAGGUAUAAUGUUAGUCUCUAUAUGCAUGUUUCUCGGCAUAUGUAAUAUAUCCUCAGCGUACCAAUAUUUUGGUCAACUAAAAACUAAUACUAUCAUACUUUGCCCUAUAGCACAACUAGAUAUUUAAAUGUUAUAUAUUAUAUUUAAUUAUUACUGUUCUGAAUUAUAAUUCUCCUGUAGGGCUAUGAUAACAUAAUUGAGAAUUCCUUACAAUCUUUGUUGUUUUCGAGAUUUUAUUGAUAAGCAUAUCAUAUUGGAUGAAAGACAUAUGGAAGCCCUUGGGAAGACCCCUUUUCACAACUUCCUCCGAAUACUCACCUCCCUAAGCAAUGAGCAAGUGACAAUUGAUUGCUUGAUUCAAAAAUUUAAUCCCGAUAAAUGCUCAUUUAUGUUUGGGAAUAAAGAUUACGUGUUUGGUAUAGAGGAUGUGCAUCGAAUUAUCGGUUUGACAGAUGGAAUUCCGAUAAAUAUUAGUAUACCCAAUUUGUAAAGAACUAUAAGACACCCAAGGAGAAGAAGGAUAGUAGGAGUGAGGGCAAGAAAAAAGUCGAUGAGGAAAUGAAGGGGGCAUUUUGGGGAAGCGCAUAGAAUGACUGAGUUGAUUGUAGGUAUGGCCAAAAAAGACCAUAUAACUUGUGUGAAAGUUAUUGUGGCCUUUAUUAUCGACUUCAUAUUAUGUCCGCAAACAUGUAGGACAUGUCUUUUGUGGGCGUUUAGAUAUGCACAAUAUUUGUCCAUUUUGGAGAAUUAUAACUGGUGUCAUGCAGUGUUUACUUUUAUUUGCAAAGAGAUGAAGAAGGCAAAGAGGUCCAUUAAUAUGAGCAGAUUGGGAGAACGGUUGUAUGUUGAUUACAUGGGUGGUUUUUCCUCUGUAUUGCUGGUUUGGUUUUAUGAAUUGAUGGGAAAACUAGAAUGUACUUCAAACAUUGAGGGCUUACCAAUGCUCUUUUGUGUUAAGAAUACCGAAAAAUUUAGGAGGACUAUCAUGAAUGAACAAAUUGUUUAGAGAUCCGAAAUGUCUUAUGGAUAUUGGUCAAGAGAAUACUCCUCUCAUUCAUAGGAUAUCGCCACACGUAUUUGUAUAUAUCUUUACUCUAAUAGAUUAUUAUUUUUAUGUCCUUUUCUUUUUUUAGUAUUUUUAUCUGUAACUAUAUUAUGAGUAAUACUUGUGUAUUUUUUGUGUUAUAAGUAUCAAGAAAAGCUGAAUUGAUCACAUCAGUUGCUAAGAAGAUGUAUGAGUUGAAUGAGCUUACUACGGAAUUACAAGAAUUAGAAGAGCAUGGUGCUAGAGGCAUAAAUAAAAACAAAGAGGAAGAGGAUAAGAAAAAUAAAAAUGGAGACAAUAAAAAGCAAAGAGGAUAAGGAAGCUGAUGAUUAUGAGAAAGAGGAAGAGAAAGAGGUAGAGGAUAAUGAAAAUGAAAAAGAGAAAAAUAUUGAAGAAAAAAGAGAUACAAAAGAUAAAGUAGAGGAGCAAAGUGCUGUAGAGGGGGAUAACACUGAUGGGGUGGGAGAGGAUGACAACUUUUGUGACUUUCUAAUAAGUCCAAGAAAAUUGGAAAUUUUAAAGUAAGCUGAUACUGAUGAGAACUUUGUGAUGAGCCCAAGAGAAAGAAAAAUUUUAGAAGAAGCUCGGGAGGUUUGUCCACAAGAUGAAGGCGACAACGAUAAUAAGAGGGACACCCUAUCCAUCAAACGGGUUAUGAGAAAGACGAAGAGGAAGGAUGGACCUUCUGUUAGUUCACCUUACUUGCGUCUAGAUUAGCCCAAAGAAGGUACAAAGAAGAAAUGCGUCAUCCAGAUCAUGGAUAGUCCUAAGGGGGCUAUAAAAAGAAGUGCAUAAAUAGAGAAGGCUUUAUGUCUAAAUCUCACAAUUAUCCAGGAAAUACACUGGUUUAUGAGGACAAACUAAUAGAUGACUUUCAACAAUUGAAAAUGACCAGGUAAUUACUAGUGAUUAUUCUAAUAAUAAAUCUUUAACCCGUCUUAUACUUAGUUACUAUUUCUCACUACGUACUUGUAUAUAGUGAUACAUUCAUUUGGAAGUGCGUCGAAGCAAGUGUAUCUGGCUUAGAUGCUUAUAAAUUUUUAACAGGAGGUGAACUCAGUGACAAUGCAGAUGCUAAAUUGUGUUA
Long non-coding RNA from Asparagus officinalis (garden asparagus), 3397 nucleotides. RefSeq lists it as uncharacterized. The transcript has 3 exons. The record is from RefSeq and is a predicted model, not a curated record. Lineage: Eukaryota; Viridiplantae; Streptophyta; Magnoliopsida; Asparagales; Asparagaceae.